This 468-nucleotide ribosomal RNA is filed under the name uncultured bacterium. RNAcentral's name for it is "partial 16S ribosomal RNA". It matches the Rfam family "Bacterial small subunit ribosomal RNA", at positions 28 to 507 of the family's 1533-position model. The record is from RNAcentral.
GACGAACGCUGGCGGCGUGCUUAACACAUGCAAGUCGAACGGAAAGGCCCUGCUUGCGUGCGGUGCUCGAGUGGCGAACGGGUGAGUAACACGUGAGCAACCUGCUCUUCACUUUGGGAUAACUUCAGGAAACUGGGGCUAAUACCGGACAGGAGCUGCUGCUGCAUGGUGGGGGUUGGAAAGUUGCGGCGGGUGGGGAUGGAUGCGCGGGUGAUCAGCUUGCUGGUGGGGGAGUGGCAGACCAAGGGAGUGACGGGUAGCCGGCCUGGGAGGGUGAACGGGCUCCAUGCGCCUGCGGGAGGCAGCAGUCUCGUACGGGGGGCAAUGGGGGGGAGUAUGAUCCAAUGGUCGGGAGUGGGAGGCGGAGGCGCUGCGGGCGGGAAGACGGCCUUCUGGUUAUGAACCGCUUUCGCCUGUGACCAAGCGUUAGUGACGGUACUGGAUGAAGAAGCACCGGCUAACUACGUG